RNAcentral lists this ribosomal RNA (498 nucleotides) under uncultured bacterium. RNAcentral's name for it is "partial 16S ribosomal RNA". It matches the Rfam family "Bacterial small subunit ribosomal RNA", at positions 28 to 507 of the family's 1533-position model. The record is from RNAcentral.
GACGAACGCUGGCGGCGUGCCUAAUACAUGCAAGUCGAACGAGAGCGCCCGGUGCUUGCACUGGUCAAUCUAGUGGCGAACGGGUGAGUAACACGUGGGUAACCUGCCCAUCAGAGGGGGAUAACAUCCGGAAACGGAUGCUAAAGCCGCAUAGGUCUUCGAACCGCAUGGUUUGAAGAGGAAAAGAGGCGCAAGCUUCUGCUGAUGGAUGGACCCGCGGUGCAUUAGCUAGUUGGUGAGGUAACGGCUCACCAAGGCCGUGAUGCAUAGCCGACCUGAGAGGGUGAUCGGCCACAUUGGGACUGAGACACGGCCCAAACUCCUACGGGAGGCAGCAGUAGGGAAUCUUCCGCAAUGGACGCAAGUCUGACGGAGCAACGCCGCGUGAGUGAAGAAGGUUUUCGGAUCGUAAAACUCUGUUGUUAGAGAAGAACAAGUGCUAGAGUAACUGUUAGCGCCUUGACGGUAUCUAACCAGAAAGCCACGGCUAACUACGUG